This 995-nucleotide ribosomal RNA is filed under the name uncultured organism. RNAcentral describes it as "SSU rRNA". It matches the Rfam family "Bacterial small subunit ribosomal RNA", at positions 478 to 1466 of the family's 1533-position model. The record is from RNAcentral.
AUGGGUAAAGAAGCACCGGCUAACUACGUGCCAGCAGCCGCGGUGAUACAUAUGGCGCGAGCAUUGUCCGGAUUUAUUGGGCAUAUAGGGCUCGUAGGUGGUUGAUCGCCUCGGAAGUGUAAUCUUGAUGCUUAACCCUGAUCGUGCUUUCAAUACGGUUUGACUUGAGGAAGGUUACGGGAGAAUGGAAUUCCUGGAGUAGCGGUGGAAUGCGCAGAUAUCAGGAGGAACACCCAGUGGCGAAGGCGGUUCUCUGGACCUUUCCUGACGCUGAGGAGCGAAAGCGUGGGGAGCGAACAGGCUUAGAUACCCUGGUAGUCCACGCUGUAAACGGUGGGUACUAGGUGUGGGGUCCAUUCCACGGGUUCCGCGCCGUAGCUAACGCUUUAAGUACCCCGCCUGGGGAGUACGGCCGCAAGGCUAAAACUCAAAGGAAUUGACGGGGCCCCGCACAAGCGGCGGAGCAUGCGGAUUAAUUCGAUGCAACGCGUAGAACCUUACCUGGGUUUGACAUGGAUCGGGAGUGCUCAGAGAUGGGUGUGCCUCUUUUGGGGUCGGUUCACAGGUGGUGCAUGGCUGUCGUCAGCUCGUGUCGUGAGAUGUUGGGUUAAGUCCCGCAACGAGCGCAACCCUUGUUCACUGUUGCCAGCACGUUAUGGUGGGGACUCAGUGGAGACCGCCGGGGUCAACUCGGAGGAAGGCGGGGAUGACGUCAAGUCAUCAUGCCCCUUAUGUCCAGGGCUUCACGCAUGCUACAAUGGCUGGUACAGAGAGUGGCGAGCCUGUGAGGGUGAGCGAAUCUCGGAAAGCCGGUCUCAGUUCGGAUUGGGGUCUGCAACUCGACCUCAUGAAGUUGGAGUCGCUAGUAAUCGCAGAUCAGCAACGCUGCGGUGAAUACGUUCCCGGGGCUUGUACACACCGCCCGUCAAGUCAUGAAAGUUGGUAACACCCGAAGCCGAAGGCCUAACCGUUGUGGGGGAGCCGUCGAAGGUGGG